This 522-nucleotide long non-coding RNA is filed under the name Salmo salar (Atlantic salmon). Its description in RNAcentral is "lncRNA (ENSSSAG00000097322.1, ENSSSAG00000102469.1)". Lineage: Eukaryota; Metazoa; Chordata; Actinopteri; Salmoniformes; Salmonidae. The record is from RNAcentral.
UUUGGUUCAGAAUAAGGCUUUAGUUUAGGUUCAGAAUAAGGCUUUGGUUUAGGUUUAGAAUAAGGCUUUAGUUUAGAAUAAGGCUUUAGUUUAGGUUUAGAAUAAGGCUUUAGUUUAGGUUUAGAAUAAGGCUUUAGUUUAGGUUUAGAAUAAGGCUUUAGUUUAGGUUUAGAAUAAUGCUUUAGUUUAGGUUUAGAAUAAGGCUUUAGUUUAGAAUAAGGCUUUAGUUUAGAAUAAGGCUUUGGUUUAGGUUUAGAUUGAAGACAUUUAUUCACUUCUCAACUGUUUUAUUUGAUGUUUGUAUUGAUUGUUUCAUUACAAUAUUUAAAGCUUAUACUAGCAUCUACAUCUCUACAGUUGAUGAAUUAUGCCUAGCUCUGUGUGUGUGUGUGUGUGUGUGUGUGUGUGUGUGUGUGUGUGUGUGUGUGUGUGUGUGUGUGUGUGUGUGUGUGUGUGUGUGUGUGUGGGGGGGGGGGUGUGUGUGUGUGUGUGUGUGUGUGUGUGUGUGUGUGUGUGGGUGUG